Molecule: ribosomal RNA, 255 nt
Filed under: uncultured bacterium
Lineage: Bacteria
Description: partial 16S ribosomal RNA
Rfam family: Bacterial small subunit ribosomal RNA
Source: RNAcentral
CGGGACCGCAAGGUCAGUGGCAAACGGGUGCGUAACGCGUAAGCAACCUGCCUCAUACUGGGGGAUAGCCCGGCGAAAGCUGGGGUAAACCCGCACGGUCCUACGGAAUCACCUGGUUUGGUAGGUAAACAUUUAUGGGUAUGAGAGGGGCUUGCGUCUGAUUAGUUAGUUGGCAGGGUAACGGCCUACCAAGACGAUGAUCAGUAGGGGUUCUGAGAGGAUUGGCCCCCACAUGGGUACUGAGAUACGGACCCA